RNAcentral lists this unclassified non-coding RNA (339 nucleotides) under soil metagenome. RNAcentral describes it as "partial contains 5.8S ribosomal RNA, internal transcribed spacer 2, and large subunit ribosomal RNA". The stretch from base 1 to 120 matches the Rfam family "5.8S ribosomal RNA", at positions 35 to 154 of the family's 154-position model. The record is from RNAcentral.
GAUGAAGAACGUAGCGAAAUGCGAUACGUAGUGUGAAUUGCAGAAUUCAGUGAAUCACCGAAUCUUUGAACGCACAUUGCACCUCUCGGUAUUCCGGGAGGUAUGCCUGUUCGAGCGUCAUUUGUACCCUCAAGCUCUGCUUGGUGUUGGGUGUUUGUUCCGCCUCUGUGUGUGAACUCGCCUCAAAACAAUUGGCAGCCGGCGUACUUGUUUCGGAGCGCAGCACAUUUUGCGAUCCAGAUCAACGUACAGCGGCAUCCAAGAAGCCUUAUUUAACGCUCUUGACCUCGGAUCAGGUAGGGAUACCCGCUGAACUUAAGCAUAUCAAUAAGCGGAGGA